RNAcentral lists this ribosomal RNA (489 nucleotides) under uncultured bacterium. RNAcentral's name for it is "bacterial SSU rRNA". It matches the Rfam family "Bacterial small subunit ribosomal RNA", at positions 28 to 524 of the family's 1533-position model. The record is from RNAcentral.
GACGAACGCUGGCGGCGUGCUUAACACAUGCAAGUCGAACGGUGAUCUUGAGAGCUUGCUCUUGGGUGAUCAGUGGCGAACGGGUGAGUAACACGUGAGUAACCUGCCCCUGACUCUGGAAUAACUUCGGGAAACCGAAGCUAAUACCGGAUAUGACACAGAGCCGCAUGGUUUCUGUGUGGAAAGUUUUUCGGUUGGGGAUGGACUCGCGGCCUAUCAGCUUGUUGGUGAGGUAAUGGCUCACCAAGGCGACGACGGGUAGCCGGCCUGAGAGGGCGACCGGCCACACUGGGACUGAGACACGGCCCAGACUCCUACGGGAGGCAGCAGUGGGGAAUAUUGCACAAUGGGCGAAAGCCUGAUGCAGCGACGCCGCGUGAGGGGAUGAAGGCCUUCGGGUUGUAAACCUCUUUCAGUAGGGAAGAAGCGCAAGUGACGGUACCUACAGAAGAAGCACCGGCUAACUAACGUGCCAGCAGCCGCGGUAAU